GGCCAAAACUAAAGGGUGUAUAGGUCAUGGAAAUUUUCCUGACUUAGUUCAAGAUGGCAUCUUACAGUCUGAACAUCUUUAUCUAUUUAGGGUUACCACAGUAUAUUGUGUACUGAAAGAGUCGUAGUAUAGUGUUGAAGCUUGUUUAUGCAUUAUUGUUCUUGUAAUUCGUCUGGGACAGAAUGGCGUAAACAUAUUAUGCACUGAAGGUAGGUAAGAGGUUAUUGCUUAAAGAAA
Non-coding RNA from Pelobates cultripes (western spadefoot toad), 237 nucleotides. The record is from the annotation of a GenBank genome assembly. NCBI's taxonomy places the organism in Eukaryota, Metazoa, Chordata, Amphibia, Anura, Pelobatidae.